Molecule: long non-coding RNA, 383 nt
Organism: Cercocebus atys (sooty mangabey)
Lineage: Eukaryota; Metazoa; Chordata; Mammalia; Primates; Cercopithecidae
Exons: 3
Source: RefSeq, a predicted model, not a curated record
UGAGGAUUGCCAUAGGUAGGUACAGUGCAUUAGACAUUCAAGCCUCUGCAUGAGGUGUGGGAAACUGAGAGGGGAGAGAGGAUUAAGCAAAAAUCCCCACUCUGUGCCUUUGCUGAGAAUCCAGGGCUGUAAUUCAGGCCACUGUAAGGCUUUACAAGAUGGAUUGUAACUCAGGAUGUGAAAAGAUUGCCUCAUCAUCAUAGCUGGUUAAAAACAGCCGAUUUCACAUAUGACGUUAUCUGCAGUGCCCUGUGCAGAGGCCUGCGGGGAGUUUACAGAGACAUCUGGUGGCUGAGAAGGCUCCAAGAUGGCUCUGAAAGGCACCGAGAAAACCUAACGUAUCUGAGGGCCUAGCUUCUGGCCUGGCUUUUACGUGGUCAGCG